UUAGAUCAUAUGAAAGCGAAAGAUGGCUGCGGAUAUUCCCAUUAACAAUACGGGCAAAUGUGGUAGGAUCACUUCUGCAGUGGGAGAAUCCAGUUGUGUGUUCUGCACGAAAUAACAUUGUUAUACCUAAGCUGGUAAGGCUUGGACCAAUUUUGGAGCACACCAACUUUGAUUGUGAGCCGCUGUAUGAUGCAAAUAUAUGAAGAUGAUGAAAAGAAAGUGGGACAUAUUGCUUCUUCAUUGGUAGCUUGUUGUACAGAUAUCCUGGUUGAUAAAAAUAUAUACGAACUGGUCAUUUUCUAUACUGUACUGGAUAUACAUUUAUAGGGGAUAUCUAUACAUUCUCUGGCAAAACACUUAUACAGAACGAGCCCGAAUGUUUGCAAGCUUUACCCUUCAACUCUAUUUGGUCAUUUCUUAUCUAAUUUCUUGUGCAUUUUUUAGUUCUUCAUAUUAGCUUCAGAUAUGUUUCUUCUGAAGUAAGUUCCAUAAAUCAGUGCCCUCAGUCAUAAAUAAAUAGUUACUAUGCAAUCAGAAUCUCAUAAUUUUCAUUCACAAAAAGUACAAGCAAGUUGCCAUUAUCAAAAGUGAGCUUUCUUCAGGAAUUCUUUUAUAAAAUGUGAAGCUCCAAGAAAUAAAUUUUUUAGGAAAAUUCAUGCCUAAACUACUAAAUGAUUGAGGCAUAUGCUUAAUACUCACACAAGAUGAUGAUACCUGUGAGAAUAACAAAAUGUGAUGUAUGGCACAAGUCCAAGAUCCCGGGUGAACUCUGCAGUUCUAAAUUUUUUAACAAACAGCUCCAUGAAGGGAUGUUGCUAUAGAUCUUCAAGUUCUUGAUUCUGCCAACAAUUUUACAAUCAUGUUAGUCGCGGAAUUGACUAAUAUAACCUCAUUGCAGAACAUCAGCAUCAAAGAAUGUAUAUCAUGCUUGUAAAACACUCAUAUCAUGGGGGCAGAUAAUGCCAAUACAUAUCUUCUCCCCUCAGUCGUCUUUUUGGCUAAUUGCAGACAUUAUUGCUGAAAAAAUAUUUGCUAGUAAUGAGAGCAUCUUAAUCCCUAUAUCACUAUUUGAAAUCAUAGUUAAACAACCAAAAGAAGGCAUUAAAGUGCAAUCAAUCCCAGGCUGCAAACACAAAAUUCAACUUGCUAUAACCGAGAACCUUCUACCAAAAAAUCAGCACAGACAACUUCGUGUAAUGCAAAAUGCAUCACUACCCCUAGCUGUUAAGCCAAUGAGAACAUGCACCAUGGAAGACAGAGGAAUACCUCUGAUCAUUUCAAACCAGGCUAACAUUGACCACCAAAGAUGAUAGCAAAUAGCACGAGAGAUUCAUGCACCAGACAAGCAGAGGAUUCUUCAAACAUAAUAUGCGACUUCCUUAAAGAAGUAGGGUUGAGAGAAAGAAAGAUCGAGCAUCCUAUAAGGCCAAAUAAAUUUCUCAAGUUGAAGACUUUAC
RNAcentral lists this long non-coding RNA (1457 nucleotides) under Carica papaya (papaya). RNAcentral describes it as "long non-coding RNA (CPAP_LNC007167)". The record is from RNAcentral. Lineage: Eukaryota; Viridiplantae; Streptophyta; Magnoliopsida; Brassicales; Caricaceae.